GCCGGGCGUGGUGGCUCAUGCCUGUAAUCCCAGCACUUUGGGAGGCUGAGGCGGGCGGAUCACCUGAGGUCAGGAGUUUGAGACCAGCCUGGCCAACAUGGUGAAACUCCGUCUCUG
Pongo abelii (Sumatran orangutan) is the source of this 117-nucleotide unclassified non-coding RNA. It matches the Rfam family "Metazoan signal recognition particle RNA". Rfam says of the family: The signal recognition particle (SRP) is a universally conserved ribonucleoprotein. It is involved in the co-translational targeting of proteins to membranes. The record is from Ensembl. Lineage: Eukaryota; Metazoa; Chordata; Mammalia; Primates; Hominidae.